UUUGAUCAUGGCUCAUGACGAACGCUGGCGGCGUGCCUAAUACAUGCAAGUCGAGCGAAUCUUGAGGAGCUUGCUCCUUAAGGUUAGCGGCGGACGGGUGAGUAACACGUGGGCAACCUGCCUGUAAGACUGGGAUAACACCGGGAAACCGGUGCUAAUACCGGAUAAUUCUUCACCUCGCGUGGGGUGAAGCUGAAAGUCGGUUUCGGCUGACACUUACAGAUGGGCCCGCGGCGCAUUAGCUAGUUGGUGAGGUAACGGCUCACCAAGGCGACGAUGCGUAGCCGACCUGAGAGGGUGAUCGGCCACACUGGGACUGAGACACGGCCCAGACUCCUACGGGAGGCAGCAGUAGGGAAUCUUCCGCAAUGGACGAAAGUCUGACGGAGCAACGCCGCGUGAGUGAUGAAGGCCUUCGGGUCGUAAAACUCUGUUGUUAGGGAAGAACAAGUACCGGAGUAACUGCCGGUACCUUGACGGUACCUAACCAGAAAGCCACGGCUAACUACGUGCCAGCAGCCGCGGUAAUACGUAGGUGGCAAGCGUUGUCCGGAAUUAUUGGGCGUAAAGCGCGCGCAGGCGGUCCUUUAAGUCUGAUGUG
This 601-nucleotide ribosomal RNA is filed under the name uncultured bacterium. RNAcentral describes it as "bacterial SSU rRNA". It matches the Rfam family "Bacterial small subunit ribosomal RNA", at positions 12 to 596 of the family's 1533-position model. The record is from RNAcentral.